This is a non-coding RNA of Podarcis lilfordi (Lilford's wall lizard), 130 nucleotides long. Lineage: Eukaryota; Metazoa; Chordata; Lepidosauria; Squamata; Lacertidae. The record is from the annotation of a GenBank genome assembly.
AGAUUUGUUAGGAGACCUCUAUUCCCCUCACAGAGCUGCAGUUACAAAGUGGUUUAACAACAGUUCCUCUCUCCAGGUAACUCUGCAAAUUGUAGCUCUGGGAGAGGAAUAGAGGUCUCCUUACAACUCU